Molecule: unclassified non-coding RNA, 344 nt
Filed under: Cytisus spinescens
Lineage: Eukaryota; Viridiplantae; Streptophyta; Magnoliopsida; Fabales; Fabaceae
Description: partial external transcribed spacer
Source: RNAcentral
CGGUUGCGGCUCUGGUGUUCACUUUUGGUUCUUGUGUUGCCUACCCGUUUAGCGGUAUUCAUGUGCCUCUUAAGACUCGUUCCAUCCAGACCCCUUCUAGGGGCUGCUGGGGGAUUCGAAAGUGAUGCAUGUUUUGCGUUAGCUGUGCGUUGUAACGGCUCACGUUCUCACAUGUGUCUAUUUUUCCAUUGGAUGCGGUGCAUGCGGCAAGCGUGGGCUGACGAUUGUGCCCCGUUUAGUCCCUUUGAUUUAUCGGUUGCCUUGAAUGACACUUUGCCGUAGUGUUGGUCUUGCUUUACCAUUCUUGGGGGCAACACUUGCACUUCGACCAGAGUCAUUGACGG